UACGUAGGGGGCUAGCGUUGUCCGGAAUCAUUGGGCGUAAAGCGCGUGUAGGCGGCCCGGUAAGUCCGCUGUGAAAGUCGGGGGCUCAACCCUCGAAUGCCGGUGGAUACUGUCGGGCUCGAGUGCGGAAGAGGCGAGUGGAAUUCCUGGUGUAGCGGUGAAAUGCGCAGAUAUCAGGAGGAACACCGAUUGCGAAGGCAGCUCGCUGGGACGUUACUGACGCUGGAGACGCGAAAGCGUGGGGAGCAAACAGG
RNAcentral lists this ribosomal RNA (254 nucleotides) under uncultured bacterium. RNAcentral describes it as "partial 16S ribosomal RNA". It matches the Rfam family "Bacterial small subunit ribosomal RNA", at positions 524 to 776 of the family's 1533-position model. The record is from RNAcentral.